UUUUGUUUCCCUCACCCUCAAUUCCUUUUCCUUUAUUUUGUUCAUCCCUAUCCUCUCCAUCUCCCUCUCAUGCCUUUUCUCUCUCAUGUCCAAAUCUCCCCUCUCCUAUCCAUGCGUACUCGAAGUUUCCUAUGCCUCUCUUCCCUUAUUCCUUCGAGCCACCAAUAAGUUUUCCUUUUCCUCUUCUUAAAUUGAUCUCUUGUAAUACUUAGGAGAAAAGGGGAUAGGGCCUUGUUUCAUUGUUUAAAGGUCCUUAUCAGGCUUUUCUUCCCUAUUCCCUUGGUGGCUGGCGGUGGUGCUGUGGGUAGUGGUGGCCAAUGGCCAUGUGAUGGAUGGUGGGGCUGUGUCGUAGGUGGCAAACAGGUGGAGGGCGAACCCUUAUUUUUUCUAUUGUAUUUGGAUGAAAGAGGAAGAAAGAAAAGAAAGUAAGAAAAAGAGAGAAGAAAAGGAGGGCUGUGGCAAUGAAAAGAAAGUAAGAAAAAGAGAGAAGAAAAGGAAGGCUGUGGCAAUGAUGCCUCCUAUCACAAUUAGCAUGAGUCAUGCUAAUAUCACCGGAAUAAUAGCCAAUUCCCCUUGUAGCAUUUAUGAAUUAGAAGAAAAUUAAAACCUUUGAAAUUUGGGUUAUUUUUGAAAUAUGGAUGUAACCCUAAUUUGAUAUGUUUGUGAUUUCAACAUAAUUAAGUCUCGAAGGAUCUUUAUGAACUAAGUAAGC
RNAcentral lists this long non-coding RNA (712 nucleotides) under Elaeis guineensis (African oil palm). RNAcentral describes it as "long non-coding RNA (EGUI_LNC023300)". Lineage: Eukaryota; Viridiplantae; Streptophyta; Magnoliopsida; Arecales; Arecaceae. The record is from RNAcentral.